GACGAACGCUGGCGGCGUGCUUAACACAUGCAAGUCGAGCGGUAAGGCCCUUUCGGGGGUACACGAGCGGCGAACGGGUGAGUAACACGUGGGUGACCUGCCCUCAGCUCUGGGAUAAGCCUGGGAAACCGGGUCUAAUACCGGAUAUGACUCCAUGACGCAUGUUGUGGGGUGGAAAGCCUUGUGCGGCUGAGGAUGGGCCCGCGGCCUAUCAGCUUGUUGGUGGGGUGANGGCCUACCAAGGCGACGACGGGUAGCCGGCCUGAGAGGGCGACCGGCCACACUGGGACUGAGACACGGCCCAGACUCCUACGGGAGGCAGCAGUGGGGAAUCUUGCGCAAUGGGCAAAGCCUGACGCAGCGACGCCGCGUGAGGGAUGAC
This 382-nucleotide ribosomal RNA is filed under the name uncultured bacterium. Its description in RNAcentral is "bacterial SSU rRNA". It matches the Rfam family "Bacterial small subunit ribosomal RNA", at positions 28 to 412 of the family's 1533-position model. The record is from RNAcentral.